UAGUAGGAAAAAAAGAGAGAAAAAGAAGGUAAUGACUAUUUUUUUAGUAUUUGGUCCAUGACUAGCUUUUAAGAGCCCAUCUAAUCUACCUUAUUCAAACCGAACACAAACCGAAAUAUCUCGAAAUAUCUCUCUCAUCAGUCAUCGCUCAUUUCCUUCGAAAAACAACCGAUGAUGUCUGAGCUGAGGAGAAAGCUAGAUUUGUCGUACGAGAGUCUCCCCGACGACGUGGUAUUCGACAUCCUGACUCGGCUGCCGGUGAAAUCCUUAAUCCGAUUCAGGUGCGUUUCCAAAUCAUGGUACGCUACGAUUACCAGCCGCAUAUUUAUCACCAGGCACCUCAACUUCAAUCUCAACCUCAAAUUAUCAUCCAAAAACAACCACAAUGGUUAUCUUCUAUGUAAGUCUGACAAUGAAUUGUGUACCUUGGUUUACAAUAGCGACCGCACACUGACUGAGGUUUCUAGGUUUCAAAUCCCCUUGUGGGGUGCCAACAUGGUUGACUAUUGUAAUGGGAUUUUCUUCCUUUAUAGCUAUGUUAAUCCUACAAUUUAUUUGUGGAACCCAAGCAUUCAAAUGUUUAAAACCAUCGAUGCUACGCGAUUCAGACCAUUCACUAUGGACUAUUUUGAUAGCGUUGUCUUUGGAUUUGCCUAUCUUGCUGAAAUCAGCGAUUUCAAGAUUCUCAGAAUUGUGUCUUAUAAAGGGUUUGAUGAAGAAAAAGCACCCCCGGCUGAGGCCGAGGUUUACACAUUGAGUACUGAUUCGUGGAGAACAGUUGAAAUAUUGGUGGAGUCUGUGCCCAAUAUUAGAUAUAUUCUUGCUGUACAACCUAACUCCUGUUUGUUUUUCAAUGGAGCUCUGCAUUUUAUAGCGUGUACUUUGGGCAACGACGAUAAUAGUUUCAUUCUGUCCUUUGAUGUCAAUGAUGAGAUUUUUCGAGACAUAAAACUGCCCGAGGAUUACUUAGAUGGAUUAGGUCCAAAUUCUGACCACCACGUUCACCAACUUGUGGUGUUCAAGGGAUCGUUGGCUUUGAUUGUUAUUGGUCCAGACGAUGAUGUAGAUGAAGAUGAAGAUGAUGAAGAAGAAGAAGAUGAUGAUGAUGAACCAGAUACUUCGAAUAUAUGCCUCAUAUGGGUGAUGAGAGAGUAUGGUGUGGUUGAGUCUUGGACAAAAACAAAUGUACUGUUUGAUUGGAUUAUUAAGCUCUUUGGCUGCACUAACAGUGGUGAAUUUCUAGUCCAAAUGUUUGACAGAAGGCUCGUUUCAUUAGACACUGAGAAUCUGAAAGUGAACCAUCUUGGAAUUCAAAUUCCUUUCUGGUUGUAUUACACAGCUGAUCUUAUGGAGAGCUUGGUUUUACUUGAUCAGGAGUAAGGAUUGCCAUGCACAUUAUUGGCAUGACAAUGUCAUUGUCAAGUGCUUAUUGCUGAUCAAUCAUAACCGUAUUUCAUGAUCAUCCUAGUGACAAACAAGUAAAUCAACAAGAUGUCUCCAAAAUUUGAUUGAUUAGCAAACUGUUGAAUGUAUCCAAUCAGCCUUGGUGGUAUCCUAAUUUUGACCCGGAGCAGGGGGAAAAAAUGAAAAGAGAAAAUUGCACUUACUUGUGCAGUCCAACCUUAUUUGCUAAAACAUAAGCAGUUCUCAAUUUGCUGAUAUGGAACCUGAAAGAAAUCCUGGAGCAGCUACUGGCACACCAAAUUGCUAUAGCAUCUGGUUUUUCCCAAAGUGCCAGCUUCUUCCACUAGGUACCCAUCUUCUCAUCUCUCCCUAUAUAAGUGAUCCCUCCACUGCUCCAAAACAACUUGCUUCAUCAAGCACGUAUCCUUCUUAGACCAGUUUUAUUUGCUACACAAAGUUCACAAAUCUGUGCUUCCAAUUUCAAGAGCAAAGAACAGUCUUGUGAAGGGUAGAAGACGAGUUCAACAAGAAGAGCUAUUGCAGCAGACAGUUGCAGUUGUGGAAGCCACGAAGGACCAGGGGAUCUGUGCGUGGAAUUUUAUCAUGAGAUUAGCACAGCAACAUUCUUAGAGCCAUUGGAAGCCAUUUCAACUUCUACAACGGUUUCAACCAAAUUGAGAGAUGAUAAAAUGAAGCAGUUGGAGUAAAUGAGAAAAGUCAUGUACUUGAGUUGUUGGGGUCCUAAUUGAAGACAUUAGUCAGCUGAAUAAGGUGACCAUACAAGUGAGCCUGUGAAUUCUGAUGGAACUUCGUUUAGUGCAGGAAGACUUCAAAAUUAAAACGUACGGGAGAUUUUGUACAUGGUUUAUUGGUAGGAACUGUCAGGCUGAGCUAAGCAGGCAUAGAUAUAUGUUUGCUGGGCAUACUUAGAACCAUCAGAAGCUGUUUUCAACUUCUACAAUGGUUUCAACCAAAUUGAGAGAUGAUAAAAUGAAGCAGUUGGAGUAAAUGAGGAAAGUCAUGUAGUACUGGAGUUGUUGGGGGUCCUAAUUGAAGACAGUAGUCAGCUGAAUAAGGUGACCAUACAAGUGAGCCUGUGAAUUCUGAUGGAACUUCGUUUAGUGCAGGAAGACUUCAAAAUUAACACGUACAGGAGAUUUUGUACAUGGUUUAUUAGUAGGAACUGUCAGGCUGAGCUAAGCAGGCAUAGAUAUAUGUUUGCUAAGCAUAUGUGCUUGUAAGAGCUAGAUCAGCUUAAGGUCUUUUGCCAUUAGCAAUUUAGCACUAGAAAAGAAGGCAUGAAUAUUUGCUAUUUGUACAAGAUGCCUAUGAAAGAGAAGUUACUAUGAACGAAAAGCAAAGAAUAAAAAGAAGAUUGCAACAUGCAUUGAGAGUGAGCUGAAUUUAGUUUUUCUACAGCCAUGGUGUUUGACCGGAUUUGGAGAGUAAGGAAUUAAGUGUGUUUGAGAGAAAAAAGAUAAUAUAGACCAAGUCAUGACAGGUCUAAGCAGCACUUUCUUGAAAGACCUGCAGUUGCUGGACCCCAGAGAAGCGAGCAAAAGUUCCUGUUAAAGGGUACCAUGAUGCAGCAGUUUGCUCAAACCCCUCAAUCUUGGCUAUGGUCGCAACUCACCAGGACUCAUAGAGGUUAGGUGUUAAGUGCGGAGGUAACUAUUUCAUACUUAGUAGACACGGAGGUGGUAGAAAGUGAGGCUAUGUGGAGGGCAAUUGGCCUAGUAACAGCCAACAAGCAUGGAAUUGCCCAAUAUAAUCCCUGAAGGCGAUUCGAAACUCUGCCUAGAUGUGAUUGUGUCCAAAGGAAAAGAGGCAAGUUGGAAGAUCGUGCGAUUCAAUCCAAGACAUUCAGUUGUUGGCAAUGUCUUUUGAAAGGUGCUUGUUCAACUGGAUUCCAAGAGAAGCAAAUGUAGCAGCUAAUGAACUAGGAGCCCGUGCUUAUUCCUUUUCUCAGCUUCUUUUUUCCGGGUUAUUGUUUCUGAAGCCCAGAAUAGUUUUGUUUUGUAAAUCUCGUAUUUUGUCUUCAAUGAAAUUGAUCUUUGUACAGAAAACAAUAAUAAUAAUAAUAAAAUGCAUAGAGAGACUCAUAUCA
RNA transcript from Quercus robur (English oak), 3511 nucleotides. It is a transcript of the gene named F-box protein At3g07870-like, with no coding region annotated. The record is from RefSeq and is a predicted model, not a curated record. NCBI's taxonomy places the organism in Eukaryota, Viridiplantae, Streptophyta, Magnoliopsida, Fagales, Fagaceae. The transcript is spliced from 3 exons.